CACAAAACUUCUGUAAUGCAAAACAAAAAUAACAUAGUUUGUUAAUAUUUGCCUUUUGAUUUUUAUCAGUUUGUAGAGGAUUUACAAGAGGCUCCACCGCACCUGGUGAAGUGACGAUGGCUUUUGAUCUGAGUUCGUGCUGAAUAUGUCCGUGUGGCGCAACUAUGAGUACAAUUUCGUGUGUAUGUUUUACAUUACUAGGUCUGGCUUGACGUUAUCACCAUUGUACUAUCAGCGCAAACCAAGCAAGACAAAUAUAUACAAAAAUGUUAGAAAUAUGUAGUUACUGGCACGAAGAACGUUAGUUAAUUUACUCGUUUAAAGGCAUUUACGGGCAACUUACCUAUUGUACACUUCCUAAUAAUUUCUUAUUUAUGAUACCCCAAAUUACACUACAUAUAAAAUAAACAAAUGUAGUCGAUGAGCAAGGUUCCAGUUUUUAGAAAUUGAAAAAAUAGGUAAAUAAUAUAUAAUAAGCAUGACAUUAUGUAAUUAUAAUCACGUAAGACGGGGUAAUAACUAAAACUGUUCAAGCAUUAAAUAAAAUAUAUUUAAUUCA
Molecule: long non-coding RNA, 559 nt
Organism: Papilio xuthus (Asian swallowtail)
Lineage: Eukaryota; Metazoa; Arthropoda; Insecta; Lepidoptera; Papilionidae
Exons: 2
Source: RefSeq, a predicted model, not a curated record